This 490-nucleotide ribosomal RNA is filed under the name uncultured bacterium. RNAcentral describes it as "partial 16S ribosomal RNA". It matches the Rfam family "Bacterial small subunit ribosomal RNA", at positions 30 to 507 of the family's 1533-position model. The record is from RNAcentral.
AUUGAACGCUGGCGGCAUGCUUUACACAUGCAAGUCGAACGGCAGCACAGAGAAGCUUGCUUCUUGGGUGGCGAGUGGCGAACGGGUGAGUAAUAUAUCGGAACGUACCGAGUAAUGGGGGAUAACUAAUCGAAAGAUUAGCUAAUACCGCAUAUUCUCUGAGGAGGAAAGCAGGGGACCUUCGGGCCUUGCGUUAUUCGAGCGGCCGAUAUCUGAUUAGCUAGUUGGUGGGGUAAAGGCCUACCAAGACGACGAUCAGUAGCGGGUCUGAGAGGAUGAUCCGCCACACUGGGACUGAGACACGGCCCAGACUCCUACGGGAGGCAGCAGUGGGGAAUUUUGGACAAUGGGCGCAAGCCUGAUCCAGCCAUGCCGCGUGUCUGAAGAAGGCCUUCGGGUUGUAAAGGACUUUUGUCAGGGAAGAAAAGGCUGUUGCUAAUAUCAAUAGCUGAUGACGGUACCUGAAGAAUAAGCACCGGCUAACUACGUG